This 508-nucleotide ribosomal RNA is filed under the name uncultured Glomus. RNAcentral describes it as "SSU rRNA". It matches the Rfam family "Eukaryotic small subunit ribosomal RNA", at positions 569 to 1082 of the family's 1831-position model. Lineage: Eukaryota; Fungi; Glomeromycota; Glomeromycetes; Glomerales; Glomeraceae. The record is from RNAcentral.
AGCAGCCGCGGUAAUUCCAGCUCCAAUAGCGUAUAUUAAAGUUGUUGCAGUUAAAAAGCUCGUAGUUGAAUUUCGGGAUCAGUAUGUUGGUCGUGCUUCGGUACGUACUGUCAUUACUGGUUUCUACCUUCUGAAGAACCUUGAUGUCAUUAAUUUGGUGUCUUGGGGAAUCAGGACUGUUACUUUGAAAAAUUUAGAGUGUUUAAAGCAAGCAUACGCUUGAAUACAUUAGCAUGGAAUAAUGAAAUAGGACGUUUGAUUCUAUUUUGUUGGUUUCUAGGAUCGACGUAAUGAUUAAUAGGGAUAGUUGGGGGCAUUAGUAUUCAAUUGUCAGAGGUGAAAUUCUUGGAUUUAUUGAAGACUAACUACUGCGAAAGCAUUUGCCAAGGAUGUUUUCAUUAAUCAAGAACGAAAGUUAGGGGAUCGAAGACGAUCAGAUACCGUCGUAGUCUUAACCAUAAACUAUGCCGACUAGGGAUCGGAUGAUGUUAUUUUAAUGACUCAUUCG